RNAcentral lists this long non-coding RNA (1374 nucleotides) under Cyanistes caeruleus (blue tit). RNAcentral's name for it is "lncRNA (ENSCCEG00000021014.1)". The record is from RNAcentral. Lineage: Eukaryota; Metazoa; Chordata; Aves; Passeriformes; Paridae.
CAUCUGAUCAAAUAACUCCUGAUUGAAAAGACAGGCUGUGACAGUCUGAUCUGAACACACCUUCAUUUCAGAAAUAACUAUCAGGUAUCUGCAAGUCAGCUGGAAUAAUGGCUGGGAGAAGUGGGGGAGGCAGCACGGCUCGGAGUGGGAUCAGGGAGCUUCUCCCGGCUCCGUCUCAGGCUGCUGAUGGUGUUUUGCUUUGCACAUCUCCAGCUUCCACCUCCCUGCUGCUGGGUGAACUCUUUUGCUUGAGGUCUCUCUGCCACGGUCACAGCUUUGGCUUCUCUGUCAUUCUGGAAGCCUCAUGUUUGGAGCUGUCACGGAGUAAUUCGGUACAAGAAUCUCAUGGAUAUUUCUGCUUCUGGGCUUGUUAAGUCAUUUGUGCCCUGUCCAAAGAACUUCUAGAAUCCCCCACUUUUAAGCUCUUCAUCCAUCAUUGUGCAAAUGUUGGCAUUAUAAAGCAGGGUCCAAGCAACCUUUGUGUCCAGGUCUCCCUUGCUGCUACAAUGAAUUAAAGAGGUACCAGUAAAUACGAAGCCAGCAAAGAAUUUUCCAAGCCACCUAAGUACAGGCAGUAUUUUAAGCCAGAGCACUUCCUUUUCCCAACAGUAUCAUGGUGUCUAUAAGCCCCACAGAAGGGCUGAGCCCUCCCCCUUCACCACCUGGGCAGGUAAAUGAAAAUGUAACAGAGGACCUGCAGUGAUUGACUUUGUGCCAUUUUGAGCCUGACAUCUACCAAAAUCAGCCACUAGAAGUAUUUACUGAUAGACCAAGGUCCACAACCUGCUCUGUGAUAAAUCUGAACCCCCUUUGGUUCAGUAGGGAUAUUCUGGAUUUACCUACAUGUAAUUUAGAGCAGAUUUUGGACCCUGCCCAUGAGCAUUAUGCCUUUCCCUACAGGAAGGAAGAUUGAUUCUGACCUUACUUAAACUAAGCAGCUUUAAUCGUUCACUAUAGAAACACCAAGACUGGGCUGGGGGCUGGGGACACAGACAUGGGAAUCCUAUAAUCUUUGGUUAAGUUGUAAUGAAAUUGUCCAGGAUGAGAAGGAAACAGAUGGAUUCUGAUUAAUUUCUCACAAGUGUAGACCUCAGCAUCCGAUGUAACAUAUGUGGUGAGCAAAUGUCACUCAUGCCUCCAAAGUGCAGAAAAAAUCACUAUUGUCAGGAUAUAUUCAUUGGCAUAUUGGCUGCUGAACUCCCAAGGGUGCAAGGAUGCUGUGCAUUACAUUUAGUCCUGAAUUAAAUAUUCAGAGGCAGAGAUACCUAACCCUUUCCUGUAUGCCUCACUGGUUAUCACAGUUGAGCUUAAUGAAUUGAAAGAGGGAGGGGAAGGGAGAUUUCUCCCCCUCCUUUGUAAAUCAUUAUUUACUGU